RNAcentral lists this long non-coding RNA (4000 nucleotides) under Mytilus galloprovincialis (Mediterranean mussel). The record is from RNAcentral. Lineage: Eukaryota; Metazoa; Mollusca; Bivalvia; Mytilida; Mytilidae.
GUCUUGAGUUCCUUCCUGAUUUGUGUAUACAUUAUAUAUAUAGUACUCCUGUCUGUAAUUUAUCACAAGGUAAGCUAUGCAUUUUGAAAAGUAUUUUAAAAAGAAAUGAGGUCCAAAAGGCAACAGUUAGAAUAGUAAUAUUUGCUUUUGCACACAGGAAUAUGAAUGCUUUUUGACACAACCAAUAGUAAAAAAAUAAGCAGAAACAUAUAUAAGUUCAAUCUAAAUCACAUAAUUAAAUAAUGAUAAAUUACUUUUGAUGACAUGCACAGACAUGUUUCUUUAGGUUUUUUGUCACUGAUUUUAAGGUAAAUAAAGGCAACAGUAGUAUACCGCUGUUCAAAACUCAUAAAUCCAUGGACAAAAAACAAAAUCGGGAUAACAAACUAAAACCGAGGGAAACGCAUUAAAUAUAAGAGGAGAACAACGACAUAACACUAAAAUGUAACACAUAUAGACAAAAUCCCACGAGAAUAACAAAUAUAACAUAUAUAUAUAUAACAUCAAAACCAAAUACAUGAAUUUGGGAUAGACAAGUACCGUGACACGUCUUAUCGCAAUGUGAAAUUUACACUAAAAAAUAAGAAGAAAACAAACGACACAACACGUUAUAAUGUAAUACACACAGAAACGAACUAUAAUAUAACAAUGACCAUAUUCCUGACUUGGUACAGGGCAUUUUUAAAGGAAAAAAUGGUGGGUUGAACCUGGUUUUGUGGCAUGCCAAACCUCGCACUUUUAUGGCCAUGUGAAAUAUAACAUCAAAAUGACAACACAGGACUACAAUAUAAAUAAAUUGGAGAACACAAUUGACAAAGAAUCACACGAACAACAGCCAACAAAAGGCAACAAGUUCAAAAUUUUAAUACGCCAGAAGUGUAUUUUGUCCACACAAGACCUAUGUGUGACGCACAGAUACAAAAGUUUGAAAGCCGAAACGAGUACAAAGUUGAACAGCAUCGAGGACCAAAAGAUCAAAAAGGUUGUGCCAAAAACGGCAAGGGUUUUCUGUUAAGUUACCAGAAAAUCCCUAUAAUUUAGAGUAAUUUAUACUUUUGCAAACAGUAAAUUUAAUAAAAUGAAUAUUUCAAGAUGUACAUGAUAAAGCUGAAGUAUUAACUAAUUACAGGAAACAACUGAAAUACAUUUACAUAACCAGACAUUUGAAACACAAAAGUAGACACAUCCGAAUACGUUUUAACCUCUACGCCAAGUGACGUCCUAUUUGAAACUGAAAAAUGACGAAAAAAUUACGUCAAAUUUGAAUUAGUAAACAGAGCAUCAAAAAUGAAAAAUGACGUCACAUAAGAAUGAAUAAGAUAGAAUUAGGAUUAAUUAAGAUUAUAUAUUUGAACUAAAUACUGAUAUGCAUUUAUAACAAAGCACAUUUUAAUUCUUAUUAAUAUAACUGAGGUAGCAAUAACUAUUUAAACUAUGUCAGUUUGUUAAAAUCUAACUUAAACGUAAAAUAUCGUACUGAUUACUUUGAACGAAAUCAAAUCUGAUAAAUGAAGCGUGAUUAAUUUUCUACCAUAACACAUAAAUAUAAUAGAAAAGACGUCACACAUUUGACAAAUCCGAUGAGAAUUACAAAUAGAACAUUUAAACAUUUAAACUAAAUACAUGAAUUUGGGAUGGAUAAGUACCGUACCACGUCUUAUAGUAAUGCGAGUUCACACUCGACAAAACCAAAGGCUCAAGGAUUUUUUUAUUACCCUAGAAUAUUUCAAUAAGGUUAUCAUCAAUUUGAUAUGUUUUUACAUUUGUAUUGUUUCCUUGCAUAUAUCUAGUUCAUUUACAAAAAAGACGUAUGCAACUUAUUUCGAUUUAAAUAAAAUUGAUUUUUUAAUCAUUUUAAUCAACAGAAAACGGACCUCUACUACACAUUACUCAAUUACACAACAGCAUAUCAGUAUACUUUAUAUGGUUAUCAACACAUAUCAUACUGGAACCGUGUGAAAACAUUUCCUGAGUUCAUGCAAAAGGUAAGCAAUUGGGAUAAUUAAACACCGCCAUUGUGGUUGAUAAAAAAUACCUUCAUUAAAUUAUCAUACACUGAAAGGUGUUUUUUUUUAUAAAUAAACCGGAAAAUUAAACAACAUUUGCACCCACAAAAAAAAAAUAGUUGAUUUUUGUAUUACGAAAAACAUGUUUUGCACAAAUAUCAAUUAUAAGAUAAGAUUAUUUGCUAUCGGAAUUUGGAUUACGUUUGUAUACGUGGAUGUUAGGUGUCACUUUCAUACUAUACAAAAAACACACUGAUCAGGUUGCUUAAGUUGCUUAUCGACAAUGUAUUUGUAGAAUUUGGAGGUAGACUUUUUCAACAAAUUGUUGGCAUUCCUAUGGGAACGAACUGUGUGCCUCUUCUUGCCGACCUCUUCUCUUUUACCAUACGAAUGUGAGUUCCUUGAGACACUUGUCAAAAACAACAGGAUAAAAAAAAACUCAGAUUAUUUGUUUUCACUUUCAGAUAUAUUAAUGAUACGCAUUAUUAUGAAUUCUAAAAAACUUCUGGAUAAUUUUAAACCUUUGUCUGUUUCUGAAAAAAAUUUCUCCAUCUGAAAUUGUCAUUUUUUUUAUUUGUCAUACUGUUAACGACAAAAUGUCUUCCUACGUCGCGUUUACAUUUUCUGACAUCAAAGACGCGAAACAUCUUUUUUAAAAUUUGAUAGAUACUUUUUGUGUUUUUUUGUUAAAUAUUUGUUUGUUUUGAGAUUGUUACACAUUGAUGACUGCUGUGCCCAUAUUUGUACUAUAUUUCCUACUUUGUCUGGUUUGUUCACGCAUUGUUGUAAAUAUAUCGGAAUUUGAUGCGAAUGUCAUACAAGUAAGAGGUUUAGCGCUUUAUAACCAGGUUCAAUCCACCAUUUUCUACACUUAGAAAUGCCUGUUCCAAGUCAGGAAUAUGACAGUGGAUGUCCAUUCGUGUUUGAUGUGUUUCAUCAUUUGAUUAGGGACUUUCCGUUUAAAUUUCCUCGGAGUUUAGUAUUUUUGUAGUUCUACUUUUUGAUGUGAUUUGCGUUGUAUCCAUCUGAUGAGUAAAGCCUUUUUAACUGAUAAGUGUUAGGGGAAGAUUUGAGUGCUCAAAACAUGUUUAAUCCCACACCAUUCAUUAUGUAUGCCUUACAAAUAUGUUCUCCUAUUUAUUUGGAUUGUAGUUCUGUAAUGUUGUGUUGUCAUUUUAAUGUUAUAUUUAACAUGGCCAUUAAAGCGGGAGGUUUGGUAUGCCACAAAACCAGGUUCAUCCCACCAUUUUUUCUCUUUUUUUCUUUAAAAAAUGUCCUGUACCAAGACAGGAAUAUGGUCAUUGUUAUAUUAUAGUUCGUUUCUCUGUGUGUCACAUUUUAACGUUGUUUCUUUUUUGUCGUUUGUUUCCUAUUAUAUCUGAAGGUGAUUCACAUUAUUAUAAGACGUGCCACGGCAAUUUUCCAUCCCAAAUUCAUGUAUUUAGUUUUGAUUUUAUAUUUGUUACUCUCAUCGGAUUUUGUCUAAUGCUUAGUUCGUUAUUGUAUGUGUUACAUUUUAAUGUUGUGUCGUCAUUUUCCUCUUAUAUUUAAUGCGUUUCCCUCGGUUUUGGUUUGUUACUCGGAUUUGUUUAUUUCUAUCGAUUUAUGAGUUUUGAACAUCGGUAUACUUCUGUUGCCUUUAUUUACCAAGUCAGGAGAUUAUGUUCACUGCUUUUCACUAGCCCAUGUCGGUCUUUUAUGUAUUUCGUAAAUUGAUUUGUUCUGAAUUAGGCCUUUAGUUGUUAAAUUGAAUAUUUUUUAUAUCUUUUUAAUGUCGGUGCCUGUCGUUUCCGACUAUUUGGUUAUGUUUUUUUCUCAGUAUGGAAAGCAGUCCAGUUGUUUUUUAAUUACUUACUACCAACUAUUUGUGAAUAGUUGUCUCAUUUGAAUUCAUUUUAACAGUAUGUGCUGAAAAUCAUCAAUAAUUUUAAAUCAAAUCAAAUGUUACAUCAAAAUCCUUGAUUUUGUAGCUUGGAUGUCAAAAUACCAACCCU